UACGAGAGGCCCAAACGUUAUUCGGAAUUACUGGGCUUAAAGAGUUCGUAGGCGGCAUGAAAAGUAGGGUGUGAAAGCCCUCGGCUCAACCGAGGAAUUGCGCUCUAAACUGUCGUGCUAGAGGAAGCUAGAGGUGAGCGGAACUGAUGGUGGAGCGGUGAAAUGCGUUGAUAUCAUCAGGAACACCGGAGGCGAAGGCGGUUCUCUGGGCAUGUCCUGACGCUGAGGAGCGAAAGUGUGGGGAGCGAACAGG
This 253-nucleotide ribosomal RNA is filed under the name uncultured bacterium. Its description in RNAcentral is "partial 16S ribosomal RNA". It matches the Rfam family "Bacterial small subunit ribosomal RNA", at positions 524 to 776 of the family's 1533-position model. The record is from RNAcentral.